Molecule: ribosomal RNA, 253 nt
Filed under: uncultured bacterium
Lineage: Bacteria
Description: partial 16S ribosomal RNA
Rfam family: Bacterial small subunit ribosomal RNA
Source: RNAcentral
GACGAACCGUGCGAACGUUGUUCGGAAUCACUGGGCUUAAAGGGCGCGUAGGCGGUUGGUCAAGUCAGGGGUGAAAUCUUUCGGCUCAACCGGAAAACUGCCUUUGAUACUGACUGGCUGGAGGGAGAUAGGGGUUGCGGGAACUACCAGUGGAGCGGUGAAAUGCGUUGAUAUUGGUAGGAACGCCGGUGGCGAAAGCGCGCAACUGGAUCUCUUCUGACGCUGAGGCGCGAAAGCUAGGGGGGCAAACGGG